CAGCAGUCGCCACGGGAAUACGUAGGGUGCAAGCGUUAAUCGGAAUUACUGGGCGUAAAGCGUGCGCAGGCGGUUCGCUAAGACAGAUGUGAAAUCCCCGGGCUUAACCUGGGAACUGCAUUUGUGACUGGCGGGCUAGAGUAUGGCAGAGGGGGGUAGAAUUCCACGUGUAGCAGUGAAAUGCGUAGAGAUGUGGAGGAAUACCGAUGGCGAAGGCAGCCCCCUGGGCCAAUACUGACGCUCAUGUACGAAAGCGUGGGGAGCAAACAGGAUUAGAUACCCCCGUAGUCCCUGUCUCUUAUAC
RNAcentral lists this ribosomal RNA (304 nucleotides) under uncultured bacterium. RNAcentral describes it as "partial 16S ribosomal RNA". It matches the Rfam family "Bacterial small subunit ribosomal RNA", at positions 506 to 807 of the family's 1533-position model. The record is from RNAcentral.